Molecule: ribosomal RNA, 467 nt
Filed under: uncultured Alphaproteobacteria bacterium
Lineage: Bacteria; Pseudomonadati; Pseudomonadota; Alphaproteobacteria
Also listed under: 1 other name
Description: bacterial SSU rRNA
Rfam family: Bacterial small subunit ribosomal RNA
Source: RNAcentral
GAGUUUGAUCUUGGCUCAGAACGAACGCUGGCGGCAGGCUUAACACAUGCAAGUCGAGCGCCCCGCAAGGGGAGCGGCAGACGGGUGAGUAACGCGUGGGAAUCUACCCAGCUCUACGGAAUAACCCAGGGAAACUUGGACUAAUACCGUAUACGUCCUCCGGGAGAAAGAUUUAUCGGAGUUGGAUGAGCCCGCGUUGGAUUAGCUAGUUGGUGGGGUAAUGGCCUACCAAGGCGACGAUCCAUAGCUGGUCUGAGAGGAUGAUCAGCCACAUUGGGACUGAGACACGGCCCAAACUCCUACGGGAGGCAGCAGUGGGGAAUAUUGGACAAUGGGCGAAAGCCUGAUCCAGCCAUGCCGCGUGAGUGAUGAAGGCCCUAGGGUUGUAAAGCUCUUUCAACGGUGAAGAUAAUGACGGUAACCGUAGAAGAAGCCCCGGCUAACUUCGUGCCAGCCGCCGCAGUAAC